Molecule: long non-coding RNA, 1620 nt
Filed under: Sus scrofa (pig)
Lineage: Eukaryota; Metazoa; Chordata; Mammalia; Artiodactyla; Suidae
Description: lncRNA (ENSSSCG00015058989.1)
Source: RNAcentral
GGCACCUGUCAGGAAGGCUGGAAGGAAAACAGCCCACUGUGUGCGUCUGUGACAUGUGACCCUGCCAGGGAGGACUGCUCCUGACAGUGAGCCAAACUGGGUCUCUGCCAUGCAACUUGUGCCCAGGAGGAAGGAGGAGCCACUCUAUAAUGUGGGUAUAGACAAAAUUCCAAGGGAACACAGCUCAACAGCCAUCCUAUGCGGGGAGCCAGGGACGAAAGAAGCUGGGAAUGUUUUGGAAGAUACAACGUUAGAGGUCACCUUGACUGGCUCUCACACCCUGAAAGGGCAAUCAGGUAAGAGUCCCCACGACUGUGGCUUUCCAACCUGCCUGGCUGUUACCUGUAAUAAGAAUUACAUUUUAUUAAUUUAUUUUUUUUUAGAGGAAAACAAUUUUGGCGUGGGGGUAUUUUUUCUUUUUUCUUUUUAGGGCCGCACCUGUGGCGUAUGGAGAGGUUCCCAGGCUAGGGGCCACAUCGGAGCUACAGCUGCCAACCUAUACCACAACCACAGCAACACAGGAUCCAAGGUGCAUCUGUGCCCUACACCACAGCUCACGGCAACGCCGGAUCCUUAACCUACUAAGCAAGGCCAGGGAUCGAACCUGAGUCCUCAUGGAUGCUAAUUGGAUUCAUUUCUGCCAGGCCACAAUGGGAACUCCAAGAAGUACAUUUUAUAUCUCAACCCAGAACACACAUAAAGGCACAUAUGUAACUGAAAAAAGCAUUCCAGAAAACAGUGCUUUUCUUAUGUUCACUUUAUUUUGAUAUUUUCUAUUCUACUAUAUACUAUUCUUUGUAUGUUUUCAUUUUUAAUUAAAAAUUUAUUUUUUUAUUCUAUAUUUUUUUUAUAAAAAAUGGUUGUGAGGCCAUUCAAUUGAUUUCUUGACUUAAUGGGUUGAAAUUCAUCGUUUAACAAUCCCUGUCUCAGGGGCCAGAGCUGGAACCCACAGAUGGAAGCCAUGAGGGGCCGGUCAUUCCUUCAGGAUCACAAAGGACUUCUAUCAGGCAGAGGUAACACACGAUGACAUUGCUCUCCUUGGGGGCAGUGAAUUUUGGCUUUUCGGAAUUUUCAAACCUAGGCUGAAUGGCAGGAUGAUAACUGCAGUGCAGGAAGGACUCAGACAUCAAAUGGGGGCUGAAUUAAACAUCCCUAAGGUCCUUUCCCUCUCUGAGAGGCCUCAGUUGGAUUCACAGAAUUGGCAGUUAAAGAGUUCAACCACUUUCGGCCACAUUAACAGAAGCAUGGCAGAUAUCUCUUGGGAGGUGAAGAAGGCCCUGCUCCCUGCUGUUCAGACCUCAAACCAGAGUAUCAGAACCAGCCUGCAGACACACUUGGAGAUAUACUUUUGAAGUUAUUCACUCAUCUGUUCAUUUGUCUGACAAAUAUGUAUGAUGUGUCUAGGACCAGCCACACACCGAUGCAGGCUCUGGGAAUGUAAGACUGAGAGAGCCCAAGCCAAAAGGAGAUCGCUGACUAGUGAGGAAGAGGUUAUCAUUAAAUACAUAUUUUUUGAGUGUCUAACUAUCUGUCAGUCACUGCUUUAGGGGCUGGGGAUGUGUCCGUGCAUCAGUGCAAAAAUAUAAAAAAAUAAAAUCCUGGCCUUCAUUGGAAUUUACA